RNAcentral lists this transfer RNA (76 nucleotides) under Oscillospiraceae bacterium. RNAcentral's name for it is "tRNA-Lys". It matches the Rfam family "tRNA". Rfam says of the family: Transfer RNA (tRNA) molecules are approximately 80 nucleotides in length. Their secondary structure includes four short double-helical elements and three loops (D, anti-codon, and T loops). Further hydrogen bonds mediate the characteristic L-shaped molecular structure. tRNAs have two regions of fundamental functional importance: the anti-codon, which is responsible for specific mRNA codon recognition, and the 3' end, to which the tRNAs corresponding amino acid is attached (by aminoacyl-tRNA synthetases). tRNAs cope with the degeneracy of the genetic code in two manners: having more than one tRNA (with a specific anti-codon) for a particular amino acid; and 'wobble' base-pairing, i.e. permitting non-standard base-pairing at the 3rd anti-codon position. Lineage: Bacteria; Bacillati; Bacillota; Clostridia; Eubacteriales; Oscillospiraceae. The record is from RNAcentral.
GCCCUUGUAGCUCAGUAGGUAGAGCACUUGACUUUUAAUCAAGUUGUCCGGAGUUCGACUCUCCGCAAGAGCACCA